UGUCACCCGCUGCCACCCUGCCUUGUCUUGCUGCCACUGCAAUGUCGCUCCCCUGCCACCCUGUCCUGUCCGUCUGUCCAAUGUCACCCCAAUGUCACCUUAUCUUGUGCCACUGUCACCCAGUGUCACCCUAUCUUGUGCUGCUGUCACUCUGCUGUCCAGCCAGCGUCACUCUGUCUUGUCCUGCUGUCACCCCAAUGUCACCUCAUCCUGUCCUGCCAUUACCCUGCUGUCACCCAAUGUCACCCUACCCUGUCCCGCUGUCACCCAGCGUCACCCUGUUGUCACCCAGUGUCACCUGACCCUAUUCCACUGUCACCCAGUGUCACCCUGCUUGUCACCCUGUUGUCACCCUGCUGUCACCCUACCCUGUCCCUCUGUCACCCAGUGUCACCCCGCUGUCAUUCAGUGUCACCCAACCCUGUCCUGCCGUCACCCCAGUGUCACCCUGUUGUCACCCAGUGUCACCCUACCCCGUCCUGCUCUCACCCUGCUGUCACCCAGCGACACCCUGCCCAGUUAUCACUCCGGUGUCACUCUGCCCCGUCCCGCUGUCACCCCACUGUCACCCCAAUGUCACCCAGCGUCACCGCGCCCCGUCCCGCUGUCACUCACGGGUCCAGGUCAAAGGUCACGCGCUGGUUGGUGGCCACGCGCCGCUCCACCGCCAGCAGCACCGCGUCCGGGCGCCGCAGGUCCCAGCACAGGAUGUGCCGCGCCUGGGGAGGGGGGCGGGGCCUCGUCAAGCCACGCCCACGCACCAGGCCACGCCCCCCACGUCAGAGAGCCCCGCCCCUUGAGCCGUAGCCACGCCCACACUCGGGCCACACCCCCCACCGCCGCCAAUCAUAUCAAUUAGCCACGCCCCCUAUUAGCCGCACCCCGUAUUCCAUAACCACGCCCACUCUUCAGGCCACGCCCCGCUGCCCUUUAGCCCCGCCCACCGUCCGGCCAUGCCCCCAUCGCCCAAUCCCCGCCCAACUGCCACUCAUGUUCCUUAGCCCCGCCCACCCCCAGGCCACGCCCCGCAAGUGUCAAUCAUGUUCCAUACCCUGUGCUUUCUCUAGGCCACACCCCUUACAUCUUAACCACGCCCACUUUCUGGCCACACCCCCUCCCAGCUGUCACUCACCAUGCCCCUCACCCACCCACACCGAUUCACUUUAGCCCCGCCCACCCUCAGGCCACGCCCCCUUUGCCCGUAGCCCCGCCCCACCCCACUGUCACUCAUACCCAUUAGCCCCGCCCACUUUCAAC
This 1257-nucleotide long non-coding RNA is filed under the name Numida meleagris (helmeted guineafowl). Its description in RNAcentral is "lncRNA (ENSNMEG00000002035.1)". The record is from RNAcentral. Lineage: Eukaryota; Metazoa; Chordata; Aves; Galliformes; Numididae.